GUCACUUUAGCCAGUGGUGCAAAUUUGCCAAGAUGGCUGGACUUCAACCCCAACACAAACAUGCUGCAGGGACUGCCAAUGACUGGGGAGAGCGGAGCAUACCUGCUGAGCAUAACUCCCUCUGGAAUAACGUGCACUCAGAGAGCUGCUGUAAAGUUCACCAUUCAUGUUCAGGACAGCGUUUUGUUCCUGGACACAGAGAACAGCUUGAACCACAUACCAAACAGGCACCAGUGAGUACUGUCAGCUGCUAAAGGCCUUGGCCCAAAUCUGAAUUUAAAAAUGAAACUGAAAAGUAAAAAAAGCAAGCCUGCUAGCAGUGGGGUGCUGAUGCUCCAGAUGGCUGUUGACAAGGCAGCAUUCAGCCUCCCUGCCCCAGCUGGGAACUGGAGCUCUUCCUCUGUGGGAAGAGAGGCAAGGCCAACAAUUGCCUCUGCAAUACACAAGAUACUGCCUACUUCCACUGAUGGUACUGGGAUUCUUUCUUAAUAUAAGUAUUUCCAGUCUGAUAGAAACUGAAUGUAAAUCUUUUAACUGAAUUACUUUAAAGUCAGCAUCAUGAUGGUAGUAUUUGGUAGAUCUGAAUCAUGCUGCUGUGCUUUAGAUCAGCAAUGGAGACAAACAUAGCUCUUGCUGAAGUUAAAGGAGAGUAGAACAUUCUCAUAUCCAGUAGGAGGAAGUUUUGGAUGAAGAGGCAAGGUUGAGUGAUGUAUGCGCAUUGAAAGAUGGAUUAAAUUCAAAGGAGUAUCUUCACAAAAGAGGGUCGGGGGGGGGGGCAGAUAAACACCUUAAACAAUGCAAUUUUGGACUUUCAAUGCCAAUCCUGACAGGUGUGGGAAGGAAGUUCCCGUCACUUCUGCUGAAAUCAUUCUCUCUACUGGAGCCAAAACCCUGGAAGCACAGGAACGCCUCUACAUCGUGUACACGGUCGCUGAAUAUCUCCAUCUGAAUUCCUCCCUAGUAACCUUGUUGCAGUACACAGAUAUGGUGCACAGAAACUUGCAGAACCUGACUGUGCUGGCCAGAGACACUUCGCACAUUGACUUCACAGUGAACCGUUACGUAGGACUCUCCUGGCCCAUCAAGUGCGGAGAGCUUGCUGUGCUCCACGAAUUCAUUCAAGUCCUGCAACGCAACAUUGAUUCACAUCACCUCUCACAACUUCUAGGAUAUGAAAUUUCAGGCUGGAGAAUUCUUAGGAGAGGGAGUUACAAAAGAAAGUCUCCAAGACAACAGCGCAGGAAAUUAAUGAUCACACCAACGCCUACAAUGAAAGUAAUUAGAAUUACCCAGAGACCAGCUGCAGUUGCUCCCCAUCCUUUGUUCUCUGCUGUGCCAAGUCAUUUACUCUUACAGCUUGCUGUAUCAUCUACCCAGAGUUUAUAUAAAGAGAGCAUAGCAACACCAAGUUACAAGUUGCAGAAUAACAUCCAUCUUGUAAGUCAAGAAAGUUUAGUCACCUUAAAACUGGACUCAGCAUGGGACAUGCCAACUCACGAUCCAACAGUAGUUGUUAUGUUUGGAGACACUAGCUCUCCAGAUCUUUCACCUUCACUGGUUCCUAAAUCAAUGCUUCUCUUCACUGAGCUGGAAGUGCUGCCCACCAGAGCUCCUGGCAUGUCCUUGCUGCUCUGGCAACCUGAGACUCACGUGCCUCAGACAGACUCAUGUUUCCAUUCUCGUAAAACAGAAGUAUAUGGAUCCCAUCUCCUACAGGACAUCACUUCAAAUACAGACUUGUUUUCCAGGCCUAUUUACACUUUGAUGAUAAACACUCUACAUGAACGGCUUCAUGCCUUGGCAGAGGCACUUUCUUCAAAGACAGAACUUCAUGUAUUUUUGCCACAAGUAAUGUCAACACCAGAAAUGCCAGAUUACAGUGAUAAGGCAAAAAGCCACUUUCCAAAAUCUGAAAUGCUUUCUAGUGCAUCUCCGUCUCCAGAGAGGUUUCUGUCUCUAUCCCCAAACACUUUGCUAACAGCCACAGCUUCAUCUGAUUUCACAUUUCCCACCAAUUGUGUGUUUACAUCUUCAUCAGCAAGUAGUAGCCCAAGCCAGGAGCUAGCUCAUGGCCAUGAGCAGUUAUCUAAGUCUUCUGUGACUAUGCCAUCAUCCAGUGGGCUUCCAUUUAUUGAAGGGAAAAGCACAGUUUCUUCUGUGAUCCAAUCAGAAGCACAGAACCUCUAUCCCAAAUUGAAUGUCCGUACUGGAAUCUCAGCCUGCUUUUCUAGCUUUUUGUACAGCCCGUUCCCUGGUGAAGCUGAAAUAUCUUACGAAUCAAGUCUGCUCAUUCUGUCCCAUCCUGAUAGCACUCCAGUUCUUAGUCUUACACCACCAAAUAUACACUCUACUUAUGGUGGUAGCAUGCUCAAAACAAAGAUGCAGUCUGCAAGUAUUUUAUCCACAAAGGAAUUGCACUCGGGCAGAGAUCUGGGAACAGGAAUGAUUUUGCCAAACAUCACUGAGCCUACCCUGGAGUCACACAAAAUCUCAGAUGUCAUAGGUGAUGCCACAGAAGUACCCCUGGUGACUUUAUUUACUGCCACUUCUCGUCUGUUCAGCAGUGUGCCAGAGCUGAUUCAGACGCUACCACCAUCACACCAGGAUGCAAGCACCUUGCAAUUUCCUACCGAUGAAACACUACAGUCUACAGAAAGUAUAUGGAUUCUUCCUCCAUCUUCUAUUUCACAAGAGCUUCAGAAUAAAACCCCAGGUAAAAAAAAUGUUUUUCUACAUUUUGAUGUCAUCAUCCUCCUUAGUGAUCCUGCAAGACAUGUCUGGUCUCUGAUACCGGAACUCAUGUAG
RNAcentral lists this long non-coding RNA (2805 nucleotides) under Numida meleagris (helmeted guineafowl). RNAcentral's name for it is "lncRNA (ENSNMEG00000013275.1)". Lineage: Eukaryota; Metazoa; Chordata; Aves; Galliformes; Numididae. The record is from RNAcentral.